RNAcentral lists this ribosomal RNA (254 nucleotides) under uncultured bacterium. RNAcentral's name for it is "partial 16S ribosomal RNA". It matches the Rfam family "Bacterial small subunit ribosomal RNA", at positions 524 to 776 of the family's 1533-position model. The record is from RNAcentral.
UACGUAGGGUGCGAGCGUUGUCCGGAAUUAUUGGGCGUAAAGAGCUCGUAGGCGGUGUGUCGCGUCGGCCGUGAAAACCUGGGGCUUAACUCUGGGCGUGCGGUCGAUACGGGCAUCACUGGAGUUCGGCAGGGGAGACUGGAAUUCCUGGUGUAGCGGUGAAAUGCGCAGAUAUCAGGAGGAACACCGGUGGCGAAGGCGGUUCUCUGGGCCUUACCUGACGCUGAGGAGCGAAAGCGUGGGGAGCGAACAGG